AAUCUUCCGCAAUGGGCGAAAACCUGACGGAGCAAUGCCGCAUGGUGGAUGAAGGCCUUCGGGUGGUAAACACCUGUCAAUAGGGAGAAAAUUUUGGCCGAUCUACAGAGAAAGUCCGGGAUAAGUACGUGCCAGCAGCCGCGGUAAUACGUACCGGACAAACGUUAUUCGGAAUCACUGGGCUUAAAGAGUACGUAGGCUGCCUUGAAGGUGAGAUGUGAAAUCCCAUGGCCUAACCAUGGAACUGCAUUUCAAACCACAAGGCUUGAGGGAGACAGGGGUAAGCGGAACUCACAGUGGAGCGGUGAAAUGCGUUGAUAUUGUGAGGAACACCGGUGGCGAAGGCGGCUUACUGGGUCUCUUCUGACGCUGAGGUACGAAAGCUAGGGUAGCGAACGGGAUUAGAUACCCCGGUAGUCCUAGCUGUA
This 428-nucleotide ribosomal RNA is filed under the name uncultured marine bacterium. Its description in RNAcentral is "bacterial SSU rRNA". It matches the Rfam family "Bacterial small subunit ribosomal RNA", at positions 360 to 804 of the family's 1533-position model. The record is from RNAcentral.